RNAcentral lists this unclassified non-coding RNA (152 nucleotides) under uncultured Sarea. Its description in RNAcentral is "sequence contains ITS2". Lineage: Eukaryota; Fungi; Ascomycota; Lecanoromycetes; Pertusariales; Pertusariaceae. The record is from RNAcentral.
CACCACUCAAGCUCAGCUUGGUAUUGGGCCCUCGUCCCUCGGGGCGUGCCUGAAAAUCAGUGGCGGUGCUGCCUGACUUCAAGCGUAGUAAUUUCUACCCUCGCUUUGGAAGCUCGGGGCGUGUGCCUGCCAUACAACCCCCAUCUUUUUAU